This 442-nucleotide ribosomal RNA is filed under the name uncultured bacterium. RNAcentral's name for it is "partial 16S ribosomal RNA". It matches the Rfam family "Bacterial small subunit ribosomal RNA", at positions 338 to 795 of the family's 1533-position model. The record is from RNAcentral.
CCUACGGGAGGCAGCAGUGGGGAAUAUUGGGCAAUGGGCGCAAGCCUGACCCAGCAACGCCGCGUGAAGGAAGAAGGCUUUCGGGUUGUAAACUUCUUUUGUCAGGGAAGAGUAGAAGACGGUACCUGACGAAUAAGCCACGGCUAACUACGUGCCAGCAGCCGCGGUAAUACGUAGGUGGCAAGCGUUGUCCGGAUUUACUGGGUGUAAAGGGCGUGUAGCCGGGUUGACAAGUCAGUUGUGAAAUCCUGCGGCUUAACCGCAGAACUGCAUUUGAAACUGUGGAUCUUGAGUACUGGAGAGGCAGACGGAAUUCCUAGUGUAGCGGUGAAAUGCGUAGAUAUUAGGAGGAACACCAGUGGCGAAGGCGGUCUGCUGGACAGCAACUGACGCUGAGGCGCGAAAGCGUGGGGAGCAAACAGGAUUAGAUACCCCGGUAGUC